RNAcentral lists this ribosomal RNA (253 nucleotides) under uncultured bacterium. Its description in RNAcentral is "partial 16S ribosomal RNA". It matches the Rfam family "Bacterial small subunit ribosomal RNA", at positions 524 to 776 of the family's 1533-position model. The record is from RNAcentral.
UACGUAGGUGGCAAGCGUUGUCCGGAUUUAUUGGGUUUAAAGGGUGCGUAGGCGGCUUUGUAAGUCAGUGGUGAAAUAUGGCAGCUCAACUGUCAGGGUGCCAUUGAUACUGCGGAGCUUGAGUACAGAUGAGGUAGGCGGAAUUGACGGUGUAGCGGUGAAAUGCUUAGAUAUCGUCAAGAACACCGAUAGCGAAGGCAGCUUACUAGGCUGUAACUGACGCUGAGGCACGAAAGUGUGGGGAUCAAACCGG